This 679-nucleotide long non-coding RNA is filed under the name Anser brachyrhynchus (Pink-footed goose). Its description in RNAcentral is "lncRNA (ENSABRG00000021839.1)". Lineage: Eukaryota; Metazoa; Chordata; Aves; Anseriformes; Anatidae. The record is from RNAcentral.
CAAGCACAAAGGCAAUUGAAAACAAAAGGUGAAAAGAGCACCUGAACUCAGAAUCAAUUGAGGGUACUUUUAACAUCCUCAAAAGGAUUUGUCAAAGAUGGAAAUAAAAAUAAAGUGAUGCUGUUCCAAUACUUUUUUUUUCUUUUAAUAGCAAGUGGCACGUUAUAAGUACAUGACAAAAAUGAGGUACAGUAAGUGUUAAUUGUGUCAGGCGUUAGUCAAACUCCUUUUGUUAGCUUGUUCAUAACAAUCUUACUAACUUUGCGCGCCUUACAGCUGUUCGUCCGUUUCUGAGUCUUAAUCAUUUGCAAGCUCAUCUUUCUCUUUGUUUCUGUGCAGAGGGCAAGGAGAUGGCAAAUCUGAUGAAGAAAGUUGGUGUUUGAGUCAAGCCAAAUGCUGCAUCAUGAAUAGCGAACUUCCGGAAGGCCCGUUGAGAAGUACCAUGAAGUUUCUUCUGCCAUUAAAACUGACAAGUUACAAAUAUACUGUGAAAGACAGAAUUUAAGGAUAUGUGGAAGUGAUGCAGCUCAUGAUGUGCUUCAGAAAACCUUGGUCACAUGGUGUUACUUCUUUUUUUGGAGUGGACAAGCAAACAUUCUUCAGAGGCAACAAAUAGAAAAUAAUAUAAAUGUAUUUUAAGUAUGAAUUUCUCUUGUUAAUUCAGUGAUUUUUCUUCCUG